Molecule: ribosomal RNA, 433 nt
Filed under: uncultured bacterium
Lineage: Bacteria
Description: partial 16S ribosomal RNA
Rfam family: Bacterial small subunit ribosomal RNA
Source: RNAcentral
AACGAACGCUGGCGGCAUGCCUAACACAUGCAAGUCGAACGAGACCUUCGGGUCUAGUGGCGCACGGGUGCGUAACGCGUGGGAACCUGCCCUUAGGUUCGGAAUAACUCCCCGAAAGGGGUGCUAAUACCGGAUAAUGUCUUCCGACCAAAGAUUUAUCGCCUUUGGAUGGGCCUGCGUUGGCUUAGCUAGUUGGUAGGGUAAAAGCCUACCAAGGCGACGAUCCAUAGCUGGGCUGAGAGGCUGAGCAGCCACACUGGGACUGAGACACGGCCCAGACUCCUACGGGAGGCAGCAGUGGGGAAUAUUGGACAAUGGGCGAAAGCCUGAUCCAGCAAUGCCGCGUGAGUGAUGAAGGCCUUAGGGUUGUAAAGCUCUUUUACCCGGGAUGAUAAUGACAGUACCGGGAGAAUAAGCUCCGGCUAACUCCGUG